RNAcentral lists this ribosomal RNA (253 nucleotides) under uncultured bacterium. Its description in RNAcentral is "partial 16S ribosomal RNA". It matches the Rfam family "Bacterial small subunit ribosomal RNA", at positions 524 to 776 of the family's 1533-position model. The record is from RNAcentral.
UACGAAGGGGGCUAGCGUUGCUCGGAAUUACUGGGCGUAAAGCGCACGUAGGCGGCUUUCUAAGUCGGCGGUGAAAUCCUGGAGCUCAACUCCAGAACUGCCUUCGAUACUGGAGAGCUUGAGUCCGGGAGAGGUGAGUGGAACUGCGAGUGUAGAGGUGAAAUUCGUAGAUAUUCGCAAGAACACCAGUGGCGAAGGCGGCUCACUGGCCCGGUACUGACGCUGAGGUGCGAAAGCGUGGGGAGCAAACAGG